RNAcentral lists this transfer RNA (72 nucleotides) under Heterocephalus glaber (naked mole-rat). It matches the Rfam family "tRNA". From Rfam's summary of the family: Transfer RNA (tRNA) molecules are approximately 80 nucleotides in length. Their secondary structure includes four short double-helical elements and three loops (D, anti-codon, and T loops). The record is from Rfam by way of RNAcentral. Lineage: Eukaryota; Metazoa; Chordata; Mammalia; Rodentia; Bathyergidae.
AGGAAUAUAGCUCAGUGGUAGAGUGCUUGCCUAGCAUGUACAGGCCCCUGGGUUCAAUCCCCAGUAUCACUU